Molecule: unclassified non-coding RNA, 251 nt
Filed under: plant metagenome
Description: partial contains small subunit ribosomal RNA, internal transcribed spacer 1, and 5.8S ribosomal RNA
Rfam family: Eukaryotic small subunit ribosomal RNA (bases 1-54)
Source: RNAcentral
GGAAGUAAAAGUCGUAACAAAGUCUCCGUAGGUGAACCUGCGGAGGGAUCAUCACAGAGUUCAUGCCCUACCGGGUAGAUCUCCCACCCUAUGUUAUUAUUACUUUGUUGCUUUGGCGGGCCGUUAGGCUCCGGCCCGACUACCGGCCCCGGCUGGUAAGCGCCCGCCAGAGGACCCAAAACCCUGAAUAUUAGUGUCGUCUGAGUACUAUAUGAUAGUUAAAACUUUCAACAACGGAUCUCUUGGUUCUG